This 1509-nucleotide unclassified non-coding RNA is filed under the name Leishmania donovani. RNAcentral's name for it is "gene:LdHU3.19.1980(CDS-product:protein_kinase_put ative)". The record is from RNAcentral. Lineage: Eukaryota; Euglenozoa; Kinetoplastea; Trypanosomatida; Trypanosomatidae.
GGUCGACAGCAAGCGCGAGGCGCAGCUGACCUCGGUGUUCAGCCGGCCUUCACGAGUGUUCUGUUCUCCUCAACAGACUUCCCCGCCGCCUCACGCUCAACUGUAGCGCUUUAGUCCUCGCACAGCCACCUUGAUGUGCACGUGCGUCGACACGGAUGAGUGGCUUUCCUUUGUUCUCAUUAGAAGACGCCUGCGACAUCGAGGAGAAGCAGCACGGCGGGGCUGUGACGCUCUCCACUGCAGGCGGUGAGAUGAGCGCACGGCGUAGUCGACUCCGCCGCGUUCGGUGGCUGCCGCACCAGCGCAUCGUGGUGCUCAAAGAGGUCGAUUUGUGGGCCGAGGACUGCGUAACGGAGGGUGUGGAUGUGGUUGCGGAGCGACUUUGGCGGAUGCGCAUGGAUGCGAGCCGCAACGGGAGAGCGCAGUACUUGGCCGAGUACCUGGCCCUCCAUGUCGACUCCUCGCGCCACUAUCAGUGGCUCCUAAGCAACUACGGCCCUUCGCUCCGGGACGUGUUGCUCACUUCCUCCCUGACUCCCUUCACAGAGGAGCGCUGCAAAGGCGUGCUGCGCCGUGUCCUCCUGGCGCUCGAUCAGCUGCACCGCGUGUCCAUGUACGUGCACGCCGACGUUAGCCUCGGCAAUGUCUUGACUUCACCGUCGAGCUGUGACGACGUUGUGCUGGGGGACUUGGAGAGCGUGAGCCCGAUCGGUGCUGUGCCUCGUGGGUGUCUUGGGUCAUACCUCUUCAUGGCGCCGGAGAGACUGGUGGACGGCGCACUGCCCCUCGCCCCUCACGACGACAUUUGGGCGUUCGGCAUCGUUUGCUACAACCUGCUAACGUGGGACGUGACGCAUCCAUGGUGUGCUCUAGGGACAGAGUCCGAUCACUCGGAGAACUACUGGGCCUUCUUGGACCUCAUGUCGAAGGCGAAGGACGUGCCGCCGUGCCAGCUCCUGUUGCAGUCGCCACUGUCACGGUGCUCCAAAGAGGCGCUGACGUUUGUUGCGGUAUGUUUGAGUUGGGACCCGGCAUGUCGCCCUUCUGCUGCGGAGCUGCUACAGCACAGUUGGAUGCUUUCUCCAUGAUCGUGGCGCACGUGUGGAUCUGCUAGUGUGAGUGACUUCACACGAAUGACACGGAGAGCGGCGAAAACGAAAGAGGUGUAAGGGCAUUCGAUUUGGGGCCCACACUCUCCCACGAUUCUCUUUGGCGCCGGUAGGCGACUGAGCGGCGCUGCACCUCCCACGUUCACGACAGUGAAAAACUUGUGCGCCGCUCCUCACCAUGCCUUGUCUCGUGGCAUGCGGUCUCUCUGCGUAUGCCUCUUGUGACGCCGCCGCCACCGUGCACUUGGGCAGUGAUGUGCGCACCGCUGAAUGCGCUGUAUUCUGUCUCUUCUGUUCAACUGCUCCCUCUACCGUUUUCCUUUCGCAUCUCUGUGAUAUUUUGUCGGCGUUGGUCGUGGCCACACUUACCCCUGGCGCCUUCAACGAGUCGCGGCUUCAG